Hibiscus syriacus is the source of this 269-nucleotide long non-coding RNA. RefSeq lists it as uncharacterized. The record is from RefSeq and is a predicted model, not a curated record. NCBI's taxonomy places the organism in Eukaryota, Viridiplantae, Streptophyta, Magnoliopsida, Malvales, Malvaceae. The transcript is spliced from 3 exons.
UUUAGUGGAAAUUAUAAAAAACUUGCUUAUUUUUCUCUUAAUUUAUUUCUCUCAUCUUAGAACUAAUGAGCUGAAAUUAGACAUUGAUGUUCCUGACGACGUUACUAUGAAAUUCAAGCAAUUCUGGUUAGACUUUAGAGACACCCCAUUGAAAGGGAGAAAUGCUAUUCUACGAGGAAUUUGCCCACAAGUUUUUGGACUCUUCAUUGUGAAACUUGCAGUUGCACUCACACUGAUUGGAGGUGUUCAACAUGUUGAUGCUUCUGGGA